GUAACAAGGUUUCCGUAGGUGAACCUGCGGAAGGAUCAUUGCACACACAAAGUUGCAGCCAACCCGCGGCGAACGAACACAUUGUCCCCCCUUCGGCGGGUCGUGGCGCCUCGCGGCGUCGCGGCGCGCCGUCUCCCCUCGUCACGCGAGCGCGAGCUUCGUGGCGUCGGGUUUCACACGAUGCAUCACCCGAAUGGCUGAGUCCCGAAUAUACUUGGAUGGAGGAGUGGGUGCGUUGCGCUCCCUCGAGCUCGCUCGCUCGCUUGCGAACUCGAGGUGUGCGUGGCGCGCCGGUUACCUUACGACGAGUUGAAACAUAACCAAAAACAACUCUCAGCAACGGAUAUCUUGGCUCUUGCAACGAUGAAGAACGCAGCGAAAUGCGAUACGUAGUGUGAAUUGCAGAAUUCCGCGAAUCAUCGAGUCUUUGAACGCAAGUUGCGCCCGAGGCUUGUCCGAGGGCAUUUCCGCUAGAGCGUCACCGCGCCCCCCACCGAUCCGCUCCCGCCGCGAGGCGCCAGUCGGGUUGAGUGCAAGUGGCCGUCCCGGCGAAGUGGCCUUCUUUCACGAGGAGUCCGUACUUGGAAGGGUCGGCUGAGAUGGAUGGAAUUGGGCCGCCGUGGUGACACAGUCCGCGAUCGGGUGAUUUUGUCGCGAGCCUCCCCCGGGAGGCUCUUGGUGAAUUUUUCUAAGUGCUUGGCUGCGUCCCCCAGUUGGCUCGGGUUACCUCAUGCAGGUCGAGCGCGCCCCCGCGGCGCGCGUCACGCAUCAGACCUCUAAUCGGAAAAGACUACCCGCUGAGUUUAAAGCAUAUCACUAAAGCGGAGGAA
Molecule: ribosomal RNA, 830 nt
Filed under: Brachythecium rivulare
Lineage: Eukaryota; Viridiplantae; Streptophyta; Bryopsida; Hypnales; Brachytheciaceae
Description: eukaryotic LSU rRNA
Rfam family: 5.8S ribosomal RNA (bases 329-481)
Source: RNAcentral